This 53-nucleotide transfer RNA is filed under the name Caenorhabditis tropicalis. RNAcentral describes it as "tRNA-Ser". Lineage: Eukaryota; Metazoa; Nematoda; Chromadorea; Rhabditida; Rhabditidae. The record is from RNAcentral.
GAACUAUAUUUAAAUAUGUUUUGAAAACAUAUUUUGAGGUAACUCGUAGUUUU